This 589-nucleotide ribosomal RNA is filed under the name uncultured bacterium. Its description in RNAcentral is "bacterial SSU rRNA". It matches the Rfam family "Bacterial small subunit ribosomal RNA", at positions 338 to 945 of the family's 1533-position model. The record is from RNAcentral.
CCUACGGGAGGCAGCAGUGGGGAAUAUUGGACAAUGGGCGAAAGCCUGAUCCAGCAAUGCCGCGUGAGUGAUGAAGGCCUUCGGGUCGUAAAGCUCUUUUACCAGGGAUGAUAAUGACAGUACCUGGAGAAUAAGCUCCGGCUAACUCCGUGCCAGCAGCCGCGGUAAUACGGAGGGAGCUAGCGUUGUUCGGAAUUACUGGGCGUAAAGAGUACGUAGGCGGUUAUUCAAGUCAGAGGUGAAAGCCCGGGGCUCAACCCCGGAACUGCCUUUGAAACUAGAUAACUAGAGUCUUGGAGAGGUUAGUGGAAUUCCGAGUGUAGAGGUGAAAUUCGUAGAUAUUCGGAAGAACACCAGUGGCGAAGGCGACUAACUGGACAAGUACUGACGCUGAGGUACGAAAGCGUGGGGAGCAAACAGGAUUAGAUACCCUGGUAGUCCACGCCGUAAACGAUGAUAACUAGUUGUUCGGUCACUUGGUGACUGAGUGACGCAGCUAACGCAUUAAGUUAUCCGCCUGGGGAUACGGUUGCAAGAUUAAAACUCAAAUGAAUUGACGGCUGAGAGNGCGAGACGACGACGAGGAGAG